GGGUUGUGAGGUUAAGCGACUAAGCGUACACGGUGGAUGCCCUGGCAGUCAGAGGCGAUGAAGGACGUGCUAAUCUGCGAUAAGCGUCGGUAAGGUGAUAUGAACCGUUAUAACCGGCGAUUUCCGAAUGGGGAAACCCAGUGUGAUUCGUCACACUAUCAUUAACUGAAUCCAUAGGUUAAUGAGGCGAACCGGGGGAACUGAAACAUCUAAGUACCCCGAGGAAAAGAAAUCAACCGAGAUUCCCCCAGUAGCGGCGAGCGAACGGGGAGCAGCCCAGAGCCUGAAUCAGUGUGUGUGUUAGUGGAAGCGUCUGGAAAGGCGCGCGAUACAGGGUGACAGCCCCGUACACAAAAAUGCACAUGCUGUGAGCUCGAUGAGUAGGGCGGGACACGUGGUAUCCUGUCUGAAUAUGGGGGGACCAUCCUCCAAGGCUAAAUACUCCUGACUGACCGAUAGUGAACCAGUACCGUGAGGGAAAGGCGAAAAGAACCCCGGCGAGGGGAGUGAAAAAGAACCUGAAACCGUGUACGUACAAGCAGUGGGAGCACGCUUAGGCGUGUGACUGCGUACCUUUUGUAUAAUGGGUCAGCGACUUAUAUUCUGUAGCAAGGUUAACCGAAUAGGGGAGCCGAAGGGAAACCGAGUCUUAACUGGGCGUUAAGUUGCAGGGUAUAGACCCGAAACCCGGUGAUCUAGCCAUGGGCAGGUUGAAGGUUGGGUAACACUAACUGGAGGACCGAACCGACUAAUGUUGAAAAAUUAGCGGAUGACUUGUGGCUGGGGGUGAAAGGCCAAUCAAACCGGGAGAUAGCUGGUUCUCCCCGAAAGCUAUUUAGGUAGCGCCUCGUGAAUUCAUCUCCGGGGGUAGAGCACUGUUUCGGCAAGGGGGUCAUCCCGACUUACCAACCCGAUGCAAACUGCGAAUACCGGAGAAUGUUAUCACGGGAGACACACGGCGGGUGCUAACGUCCGUCGUGAAGAGGGAAACAACCCAGACCGCCAGCUAAGGUCCCAAAGUCAUGGUUAAGUGGGAAACGAUGUGGGAAGGCCCAGACAGCCAGGAUGUUGGCUUAGAAGCAGCCAUCAUUUAAAGAAAGCGUAAUAGCUCACUGGUCGAGUCGGCCUGCGCGGAAGAUGUAACGGGGCUAAACCAUGCACCGAAGCUGCGGCAGCGACGCUUAUGCGUUGUUGGGUAGGGGAGCGUUCUGUAAGCCUGUGAAGGUGUGCUGUGAGGCAUGCUGGAGGUAUCAGAAGUGCGAAUGCUGACAUAAGUAACGAUAAAGCGGGUGAAAAGCCCGCUCGCCGGAAGACCAAGGGUUCCUGUCCAACGUUAAUCGGGGCAGGGUGAGUCGACCCCUAAGGCGAGGCCGAAAGGCGUAGUCGAUGGGAAACAGGUUAAUAUUCCUGUACUUGGUGUUACUGCGAAGGGGGGACGGAGAAGGCUAUGUUGGCCGGGCGACGGUUGUCCCGGUUUAAGCGUGUAGGCUGGUUUUCCAGGCAAAUCCGGAAAACUAAGGCUGAGGCGUGAUGACGAGGCACUACGGUGCUGAAGCAACAAAUGCCCUGCUUCCAGGAAAAGCCUCUAAGCAUCAGGUAACAUCAAAUCGUACCCCAAACCGACACAGGUGGUCAGGUAGAGAAUACCAAGGCGCUUGAGAGAACUCGGGUGAAGGAACUAGGCAAAAUGGUGCCGUAACUUCGGGAGAAGGCACGCUGAUAUGUAGGUGAGGUCCCUCGCGGAUGGAGCUGAAAUCAGUCGAAGAUACCAGCUGGCUGCAACUGUUUAUUAAAAACACAGCACUGUGCAAACACGAAAGUGGACGUAUACGGUGUGACGCCUGCCCGGUGCCGGAAGGUUAAUUGAUGGGGUCAGCGCAAGCGAAGCUCUUGAUCGAAGCCCCGGUAAACGGCGGCCGUAACUAUAACGGUCCUAAGGUAGCGAAAUUCCUUGUCGGGUAAGUUCCGACCUGCACGAAUGGCGUAAUGAUGGCCAGGCUGUCUCCACCCGAGACUCAGUGAAAUUGAACUCGCUGUGAAGAUGCAGUGUACCCGCGGCAAGACGGAAAGACCCCGUGAACCUUUACUAUAGCUUGACACUGAACAUUGAGCCUUGAUGUGUAGGAUAGGUGGGAGGCUUUGAAGUGUGGACGCCAGUCUGCAUGGAGCCGACCUUGAAAUACCACCCUUUAAUGUUUGAUGUUCUAACGUUGACCCGUAAUCCGGGUUGCGGACAGUGUCUGGUGGGUAGUUUGACUGGGGCGGUCUCCUCCUAAAGAGUAACGGAGGAGCACGAAGGUUGGCUAAUCCUGGUCGGACAUCAGGAGGUUAGUGCAAUGGCAUAAGCCAGCUUGACUGCGAGCGUGACGGCGCGAGCAGGUGCGAAAGCAGGUCAUAGUGAUCCGGUGGUUCUGAAUGGAAGGGCCAUCGCUCAACGGAUAAAAGGUACUCCGGGGAUAACAGGCUGAUACCGCCCAAGAGUUCAUAUCGACGGCGGUGUUUGGCACCUCGAUGUCGGCUCAUCACAUCCUGGGGCUGAAGUAGGUCCCAAGGGUAUGGCUGUUCGCCAUUUAAAGUGGUACGCGAGCUGGGUUUAGAACGUCGUGAGACAGUUCGGUCCCUAUCUGCCGUGGGCGCUGGAGAACUGAGGGGGGCUGCUCCUAGUACGAGAGGACCGGAGUGGACGCAUCACUGGUGUUCGGGUUGUCAUGCCAAUGGCACUGCCCGGUAGCUAAAUGCGGAAGAGAUAAGUGCUGAAAGCAUCUAAGCACGAAACUUGCCCCGAGAUGAGUUCUCCCUGACUCCUUGAGAGUCCUGAAGGAACGUUGAAGACGACGACGUUGAUAGGCCGGGUGUGUAAGCGCAGCGAUGCGUUGAGCUAACCGGUACUAAUGAACCGUGAGGCUUAACCUUACAACGCCGAAG
Molecule: ribosomal RNA, 2925 nt
Filed under: Escherichia coli
Lineage: Bacteria; Pseudomonadati; Pseudomonadota; Gammaproteobacteria; Enterobacterales; Enterobacteriaceae
Description: bacterial LSU rRNA
Rfam family: Bacterial large subunit ribosomal RNA
Source: RNAcentral